AUGCCUGGUCUGACUCCCUUGUUUCACAGCCAAGGUGCUGGGAAAGACACCCGGACACUUCAUGAAAAAGUCAAGGGAAUAACCUCAGAAAUAAUACUGCCUGGAGAUGCUGAACCAGAACUCAACCCCUUUUUGCUCUGGAUCAUCUUUGUCAUCAUCACAUCAUGUAUAUAAGGACCCCUGGAACUGAACUCAAGGAAGAGCUUUAAUCCAGUAUUCCUAAUCACCAGGAACUUGACAUGCCAGUCACUCAGUCGCAGCAAUACUGACUUCCAAACCUGGCUUAUACAGAAAACCUCUGAGAGCUUUUUAAAAACAAAGGUCUUCAGCUCUAUUGCCAGAACUGCUACAACAGAAGCUCUAGGGCUGGACUCAAACCGCAGGUUCCAAGUACUGCUCAGGUGAUUCUAAAAGAAUCCAGCCCAUGAGUUCACAAUUGUAACACUUGGAGGUUCACGGCUGUUUCUUACUGAGAAGAGAGCACAGACUCUGUAAAACUCCCUCCUUGUCCGUCUCACAUUACUUUCAAGAAACGCAGCUUCAGCUCCAGAUCAUCAAAGGUAAGCCCGCUUUACUAUGAAAGUUUGCUGACUGUUAACUGGUUUUCUUUGGGGCAGGCUGUUUUCAAAUAAAGAAGUUACCUAACAUGUACA
RNAcentral lists this long non-coding RNA (653 nucleotides) under Sus scrofa (pig). Its description in RNAcentral is "lncRNA (ENSSSCG00070018772.1)". The record is from RNAcentral. Lineage: Eukaryota; Metazoa; Chordata; Mammalia; Artiodactyla; Suidae.